GGGAACUGAUGCUGUAAAGAAAUCUUUAGAGGGAAUAUUUGAUGACAUUGUUCCAGAUGGCAAGAGGGAGAAAGAAGUGGUCUUACCUAGCGUCCACCAGCACAAUCCUGACUGUGACAUCUGGGUCCAUGAGUAUUUCACUCCAUCCUGGUUCUGUCUGCCUAAUAAUCAGCCAGCCCUGACGGUUGUCCGGCCGGGGGACACUGCACGGGACACCCUGGAGCUGAUUUGCAAGCUCAUUCUCUUUCCUAUUCUCUGAUCUACAUCAUUUCCCAUCAGUUUGCCAUCUGCCAUCCGAUCACCAGUCAAGUUCUGGUAUAGUAAAUGUUUCAAGAUCUACAUUUCAUGUUACAGAUGUUACUAUGAUGAUUGUUGCUAAAUGUAGUGUGUAGCUAUGUUGAUCUAUAGGUUUUGGAUGUAUGCUUAUGAUUGCAAAAACCCUUCAUUCAUACUCACUGACGCUGUUCACAUGUUUAUGACCAUGAUGUCAGUUUUAUUUCAUGCUUUCACUGUGUUGGUCUACUAUGGCUUUGCAUAUCCUAACAACUACUAGCAUUUAAGAAAUAAAAGGUCACUUUG
RNAcentral lists this long non-coding RNA (579 nucleotides) under Heterocephalus glaber (naked mole-rat). Its description in RNAcentral is "lncRNA (ENSHGLG00000048002.1)". The record is from RNAcentral. Lineage: Eukaryota; Metazoa; Chordata; Mammalia; Rodentia; Bathyergidae.